Nyctereutes procyonoides (raccoon dog) is the source of this 1216-nucleotide long non-coding RNA. RefSeq lists it as uncharacterized. Lineage: Eukaryota; Metazoa; Chordata; Mammalia; Carnivora; Canidae. The transcript has 4 exons. The record is from RefSeq and is a predicted model, not a curated record.
ACGGCAGAUGAAAUAAAGCCAUCAGCGGCCCACGGGACAGUCUCAAGAGGAGUGACGGUCCCAGUCCUCCGCAGUUGUUGCCGGGGAGCAAUUUGCCCUUGAAUCCAAUACACCACCCCGAUCCUGACAAUUUCAUUUCCCUCCGGCCCACCCCCUGCCCCGAAGAUCUGCUGAAACCGCGACUUCCAUCUCAAGAGGCGGCAGGAUAAUAGUGAAGUGUGGAAAAUGAACAAAGGGGCCGAUUGUGCAUCUCACUUUCCAGUUGUCACAGCAAACUGAGCACAGAGGGGAUGGAGCUGACGACACACGAGAACAGAUGUGGGCAUAAAGGCUGAGAAGGAAGAAAUAACCUGUCCAAGGUUUCACAGCAAGAGAUGGAGCUGCAGUUGGUAGCCAGGCCUCCUGACAUGGAGGUCUCGGACGACAACAGCACGGUAAUGCCUUUCUCUCGCAUGAUCUCACAGCAGCCCUGGAGUGAUGCUGAGAACUGGACCUGGCAGGGUUCAGUCUCUGCCCAUGAAGAAACGAAAGCUCAGGGAGGACAAAGACGUGGCCUAAGGCAUCGAGGAGAAUGCUGGCCAAGGAGGGGACACUGGGGCGCCCCUGCCCCCAGCUCCACACUUGUCCCAGCGUACCCAGCUUCAGGCGAGGUAACAGGGUCCUUCAUGCUCCAGCAAUGGCCAAGAAGUGUGGGACUAGCCUGAAUUUCCAGGCCUUUUAAGAUAAUCGCGGUAGGAAGGCGCAAAUGCUAUGUUUGGGAAAAGUCUCAGUGGUGGGAAUGCUCCCAGUUCCUGGCCGCACCUUCUGGAAUAGAGCUUAUGUCAGCAAGGCCUCACACCCGUGGGUUGUACCAGCAAGGCUACCAGUUGUCUCAAGCCACCUUUGGAACACAGCGGAGUGAAGAUGAAUACGGAAGAUGAAUACGGACAUCGCCAUUUAAUCUCAGCACAUGCUAGCAGCAAGCACCACGACUGACACGAGGUACUUCGUGAAUUGUGGCCCUCCAGCAAAUGGUCUAGACCCUGGGACACCCAAGAUGGAGGCACUGGCAAAUUCAGCGUCUGGUCAGAGACAGUCCAGGUGCUGUCUUCUUGAUGUGUCCUCACAGGGCAGAACAGAAGGGAAGGGACCUCUCUGGGGUCUCUUUUAUAAGGACACCAAUCCCAUUUGGGAGGGUAUCAUCUUCGUGACCUACUCACCUCCUAGAACCAUCAUA